RNAcentral lists this long non-coding RNA (1277 nucleotides) under Scophthalmus maximus (turbot). RNAcentral's name for it is "lncRNA (ENSSMAG00000031444.1)". The record is from RNAcentral. Lineage: Eukaryota; Metazoa; Chordata; Actinopteri; Pleuronectiformes; Scophthalmidae.
GGUAGUAGCUGUCUAAAAGCUUUAAAACGGCGAAAACUUUUCAUAAAUCAACUCUGAGAGAGAGAGAGAGAGAAAGUUUAGUCGCCAUUUUUUUCAACAACAGGCGUCGCGCUAUUUUGUCCAUUAAUUCUGUCGUCACCUGUUGUCGUCGUCAUCACCUGUUGUCGUCGUCGCCACCUGUUGUCGUCGUCACCACCUGUUGUCGUCGUCACCACCUGUUGUCGUCGUCGUCGUCACCUGUUGUCGUCGUCAUCACCUGUUGUCGUCAUCACCUGUUGUCGUCAUCACCUGUGUCAGGUGGCGGCAGCGACCGAUGCUGCGUUCCAGUGCGCCUCGGAACUCGGAGCUCGGACCCCGGAAGUCGGGGUGCAGACCUCUCCGGAGCGGGGAGGGAGCUCUGCCUGGAGCUCACCUGGAGCUCUGCCCCCGGGUCACGUAUCAUCUCUGUGAGGCGGUCUUCACCCCUGAAGGACAACUCUAUACGACUCUACUCAGCCGCCGACAGCACCGAGGACCAGACUGGACCGUCGGACGCGUUUUUCAUUGAAGACGCCAAAGAUAAUGUGGGAGGAGCUAGUCCGGGACAGACGCAUUCACAGCAGGAACAUUCCGGGACAUUCAGCACUGCUGGUCCAAUUCAGGGAAGCCGAAGCUGAUCCCGGUCCGCAGAAGUUAAAAAGCUGGAUGCGUGGUGAAGCAUGGUGGCGAAGAUGGUUAGGACGCACUUAAUGGGGCCACUGUCAUGGGGCCGGGUCAAACGGCCGAGUGUAAUGGGAACAGGAGUCCUUUAUCUGCUGCUGCUCUCAACCUGCCUUGGCCAAGACACAGAAGGUAAAAGGCGGUCUCUCAUUUUGUCGUCGUCCCCCCUCUCCCCCCUCUUCUUAUCCAUCUCUUUUUCAUUCCUUCUUUUUGGCUUUGUCUCGUCUUUUCCCUCUUUGGCUUCCUCUUUUUUUCCCCACUGUCUUAUAAAUCAGAAGUGAGUCAAGUCUGCUCAGCGGGGAUUUGAUAUGAGAAUUGCACACAUCACUUUUUUGAACUUCAGGCUUAUUGUCGGCUGUCAGCCAAUCUGAUUCAUUUCCUGAUUCAUCAUUGAUCCCUUUUAUGACGUGUGAUAACUACAACACAGUUUGUCAAGGUGUACUUAGUUUUCCUAUUUGCUUUCCAUUUCCAGUAGUAUUUUCGUCUGAACAAACAUUAAUAGCUUAUGCCAUCCAUCUCAUCCAGAAAUGUUUAUUGUCCACUCGCAUGGAAAUAUUUCUCGGGCCACAAGCACACCA